RNAcentral lists this ribosomal RNA (789 nucleotides) under Bacillus subtilis. RNAcentral's name for it is "bacterial SSU rRNA". It matches the Rfam family "Bacterial small subunit ribosomal RNA", at positions 79 to 855 of the family's 1533-position model. Lineage: Bacteria; Bacillati; Bacillota; Bacilli; Caryophanales; Bacillaceae. The record is from RNAcentral.
AGCCUCCCUGAUGUUAGCGGCGGACGGGUGAGUAACACGUGGGUAACCUGCCUGUAAGACUGGGAUAACUCCGGGAAACCGGGGCUAAUACCGGAUGCUUGAUUGAACCGCAUGGUUCAAUUAUAAAAGGUGGUAGCUACUACUUACAGAUGGACCCGCGGCGCAUUAGCUAGUUGGUGAGGUAACGGCUCACCAAGGCGACGAUGCGUAGCCGACCUGAGAGGGUGAUCGGCCACACUGUUACUGAGACACGGCCCAGACUCCUACGGGAGGCAGCAAUAGGGAAUCUUCCGCAUAGGACGAAAGUCUGACGGAGCAACGCCGCGUGAGUGAUGAAGGUUUUCGGAUCGUAAUUCUCUGUUGUUAGGGAAGAACAAGUACCGUUCGAAUAGGGCGGUACCUUGACGGUACCUAACCAGAAAGCCACGGCUAACUACGUGCCAGCAGCCGCGGUAAUACGUAGGUGGCAAGCGUUGUCCGGAAUUAUUGGAUGUAAAGCGCGCGCAGGCGGUUUCUUAAGUCUGAUGUGAAAGCCCCCGGCUCAACCGGGGAGGGUCAUUGGAAACUAGGGAACUUGAGUGCAGAAGAGGAGAGUGGAAUUCCACGUGUAGCGGUGAAAUGCGUACAGAUGUGGAGGAACACCAGUGGCGAAGGCGACUCUCUGGUCUGUAACUGACGCUGAGGCGCGAAAGCGUGGGGAGCGAACAGGAUUAGAUACCCUGGUAGUCCACGCCGUAAACGAUGAGUGCUAAGUGUUAGAGGGUAACCGCCCUUUAGUGCUGCAGCAAG